AUGGAGAAGAGGUCCCCGCUGUCGUCGAAGUCGAGCCCCAUGGAGCCGCUCCGGCCCUCGCCCAGCGACGCGGACCGCACGAAGCACGGGUUGGCCGUGCGCCGCGCGUUGGCCGGCGCGUACCGGAACUUGCUCUGCCCGAGGUUCACCAGCGCCAUCACGUCGAAGCUGGAGGCCAGCACCGGGUACAGCGGGCUGGAGAAGGCGUCGGCGUUGCAGCUCACCGCGUGGACCAGCUGCCCGUCCACCGUGAAGUACACCUUCCGCUUCGUCGGCUCGAAGCCGCAGCCCACGACCUUGUCCACCCCCGCCCACGCUGACUUCUCCGAUUCGUACGCCAGCUUCAUCCCUGCACAAUCAACGAACCUGUUCAGCUCACGAUUUGCACGGCACGAAACAGUCGCGGCAACGCAAAGAAUUCCGUGUUAUUACCGUCGAGGUAGACCGCGCCGUUGGAGUGGAAGCCGAUGGACGACGCGUACGUUCCGGCUAACGACGGUCGUGCCGGUGCGGCUGUCCCGGCGGCGAGGCCCAGCGACAUGA
RNAcentral lists this ribosomal RNA (543 nucleotides) under Triticum aestivum (bread wheat). Its description in RNAcentral is "partial small subunit ribosomal RNA". The record is from RNAcentral. Lineage: Eukaryota; Viridiplantae; Streptophyta; Magnoliopsida; Poales; Poaceae.